AUACGAGAUCUAGUACGGUCUCGUGGGCUCGGAGAUGUGUAUAAGAGACAGCCCAUAAGGUGUGUGUGGUAGGGGAGCGUUCUGUAGGCCGAAGAAGGUUGAUUGAGAAGUCAGCUGGAGGUAUCAGAAGAGCGAAUGUUGACAUGAGUAGCGAUAAAACGAGUGAAAAGCUCGUUCGCCGAAAGCCCAAGGAUUCCUACGCGACGUUAAUCGGCGUAGGGUGAGUCGGCCCCUAAGGUGAGGCAGAGAUGCGUAGCUGAUGGGAAACGGGUUAAUAUUCCCGUACUUGAGUGUAAUGCGAUGUGGGGACGGAGAAGGUUAGGAUAGCAAUCGGUUGGAAGAGAUUGUUUAAGCCGGUAGGUAGGUCUUUUAGGCAAAUCCGGAAGACUAAUACUGAGAGGUGAUGACGAGGACUUACGGGUCUGAAGUAUCUGAUACCCAGCUUCCAGGAAAAGCCACUAAGCUUCAGUUACACUUAAACCGUACCGCAAACCGACACAGGUGGGCAGGAAGAGAAUUCUAAGGCGCUUGAGAGAACUCAGGAGAAGGAACUCGGCAAAUUGACACCGUAACUUCGGGAGAAGGUGUGCCUUUGGUAAGUGAGGGGAGAGACGCCCUGAGCUGAAGAAGGCCGCAGAGAAUAGGUGGCUGCGACUGUUUACUAAAAACACAGCACUCUGCUAACACGAAAGUGGACGUAUAGGGUGUGACGCCUGCCCGGUGCCGGAAGGUUAAUUGAUGGGGUUAGCGCAAGCGAAGCUCUUGAUCGAAGCCCCGGUAAACGGCGGCCGUAACUAUAACGGUCCUAAGGUAGCGAAAUUCCUUGUCGGGUAAGUUCCGACCUGCACGAAUGGCGUAACGAUGGCCACACUGUCUCCUCCUGAGACUCAGCGAAGUUGAAGUGGUUGUGAAGAUGCAAUCUACCCGCUGCUAGACGGAAAGACCCCAUGAACCUUUACUGUAGCUUUGCAUUGGACUUUGAAGUUGUAUGUGUAGGAUAGGUGGGAGGCUGUGAAUUUAUAACGCUAGUUAUAGAGGAGCCGUUGGUGAAAUACCACCCUUACACCUUUGAGGUUCUAACUUAGGUCUCUGAAUCGAGAUCGAGGACCGUGCAUGGUGGGCAGUUUGACUGGGGCGGUCUCCUCCUAAAGAGUAACGGAGGAGUUCGAAGGUUACCUAGGUCCGGUCGGAAAUCGGGCUGAUAGUAUAAUGGCAUAAGGUAGCUUAACUGCGAGACUGACAAGUCGAGCAGAUGCGAAAGCAGGACAUAGUGAUCCGGUGGUUCUGAAUGGAAGGGCCAUCGCUCAACGGAUAAAAGGUACUCCGGGGAUAACAGGCUGAUACCGCCCAAGAGUUCAUAUCGACGGCGGUGUUUGGCACCUCGAUGUCGGCUCAUCACAUCCUGGGGCUGAAGUAGGUCCCAAGGGUAUGGCUGUUCGCCAUUUAAAGUGGUACGCGAGCUGGGUUUAGAACGUCGUGAGACAGUUCGGUCCCUAUCUGCCGUGGGCGUUGGAGAAUUGAUUGGGGCUGCUCCUAGUACGAGAGGACCGGAGUGGACGCACCACUGGUGUUCCGGUUGUGUCGCCAGACGCAUUGCCGGGUAGCUAAGUGCGGAAGAGAUAAGUGCUGAAAGCAUCUAAGCACGAAACUUGCCAAGAGAUGAGUUCUCCCUGUUUUUAAGACAGUAAGGGUUGUUUAAGACUAAGACGUAGAUAGGUCUGGUGUGUAAGCGGUGCGAGCCGUUGAGCUAACAGAUACUAAUUGCCCGAGAGGCUUAACUAU
This 1782-nucleotide ribosomal RNA is filed under the name metagenome. RNAcentral's name for it is "bacterial LSU rRNA". It matches the Rfam family "Bacterial large subunit ribosomal RNA", at positions 1173 to 2925 of the family's 2925-position model. The record is from RNAcentral.